This 253-nucleotide ribosomal RNA is filed under the name uncultured bacterium. RNAcentral describes it as "partial 16S ribosomal RNA". It matches the Rfam family "Bacterial small subunit ribosomal RNA", at positions 524 to 776 of the family's 1533-position model. The record is from RNAcentral.
UACAGAGGUCUCAAGCGUUGUUCGGAUUCAUUGGGCGUAAAGGGCGCGUAGGCGGCAAGGCAAGUCGGGUGUGAAAGCUUGGGGCUUAACCCCGAAAGGGCACUCGAAACUGCCCUGCUAGAGGGCCGGAGAGGAGAUCGGAAUUCACGGUGUAGCAGUGAAAUGCGUAGAGCUCGUGAGGAAGACCGGUGGCGAAGGCGGCCAUCUGGACGGAUACUGACGCUGAGACGCGAAAGCGUGGGGAGCAAACAGG